GACGAACGCUGGCGGCGUGCCUAAUACAUGCAAGUCGAACGAACCGCGACUAGGUGCUUGCACUUGGUCAAGGUGAGUGGCGAACGGGUGAGUAACACGUGGGUAACCUACCUCAUAGUGGGGGAUAACAGUCGGAAACGACUGCUAAUACCGCAUAGGACAUAGGAUCACAUGAUCCAGUGAGGAAAGGUGGCGCAAGCUAUCGCUAAGAGAUGGACCCGCGGUGCAUUAGCUAGUUGGUAGGGUAAAGGCCUACCAAGGCGAUGAUGCAUAGCCGACCUGAGAGGAUGAUCGGCCACAUUGGGACUGAGACACGGCCCAAACUCCUACGGGAGGCAGCAGUGGGGAAUCUUCCGCAAUGGACGCAAGUCUGACGGAGCAACGCCGCGUGAGUGAAGAAGGUCUUCGGAUCGUAAAGCUCUGUUGUUAGAGAAGAACAGCGCAUAGAGUAACUGUUAUGCGUGUGACGGUAUCUAACCAGAAAGCCACGGCUAACUACGUG
This 502-nucleotide ribosomal RNA is filed under the name uncultured bacterium. RNAcentral describes it as "partial 16S ribosomal RNA". It matches the Rfam family "Bacterial small subunit ribosomal RNA", at positions 28 to 507 of the family's 1533-position model. The record is from RNAcentral.